UACGUAGGACCCGAGCGUUAUCCGGAUUCACUGGGUGUAAAGGGUGUGUAGGCGGGCGUGCGCGGCCGGGGUGGAAGGGUCCGGCUCAACCGUAAACAUGCCUUGGAUACGGCACGUCUUGGGUGCGGGAGAGGACGGUGGAAUUCCCGGUGUAGCGGUGAAAUGUGUAGAUAUCAGGAGGAACACCAGUGGCGAGGGCGGCCGUCUGGCCCGCAACCGACGCUGAAACACGAAAGCGUGGGGAUCAAACAGG
This 253-nucleotide ribosomal RNA is filed under the name uncultured bacterium. RNAcentral describes it as "partial 16S ribosomal RNA". It matches the Rfam family "Bacterial small subunit ribosomal RNA", at positions 524 to 776 of the family's 1533-position model. The record is from RNAcentral.